CUGCUUAUGUUACUCAUCUGUUCCUGCAUGCGGUCUACUUUUUCCAUUAGAGUCCUUAGCAUAUUAAUCCUGGUUGUUUCACAUUUUGGCCUGAGAAUUUCAACAUUCUGCCCUGAGUCUGCUUCCGAUACAUGCUCUGCCUCUUCAAACUGUGGUUUUGUUUUUGCUUUUGCUAUUUAGUAUGCCUUGUAAUUUCUUGUUGAAAAGUGGACAUGAUGUAAAAGGAACUCUGAUAAUUAGGCCUUUAGUAAUGUGGAGGUAAAGUGUGGGGAAGGGCGUAUUCUACAGCCCUUUAAUUAGGUCUCCUGUUUUGGCAAGCCUCUGCUCCUGGGCUGUAAGCUUCACAGGUGCUUCUCAUUAUUUCCUUCCCACUUUAGGUGGGACAGGAUGUCGAGAGGGGCUAGAGGGGCUAGAGCAAGUAGUUCCCCUCUCCAUGUGGAAGGCUAGUGGGAGCUGAAGCUGGGAAUUUCCCUUCCCCCAGGUCAGUUAGGCUCUGGUAAAAUAAAUUCUCCUGAGGGCAGGCUGUGUUAAGAACAGAACGUUCUGGUGCAUUUCAAAAUGGUUGCUUCCUCCCAUCCCUGCCAGAAGCACAAGGGGAUUUUCUCUGAUUUUCACUCUAAGAACCUAAUAGGGCUCCUGGAGAUAAUACUCACAAAAGCGCGGGGGCCCUCCGUGAAUGGCACCCCUAGAGUUUUUAAUUCUCAGAGCUUCCAGCAAUUCAUCAAUUACAGUUCAGGUUUUCUGCCCCCAGCUGGUUCCUGGAGGUUUCUGCUCAGGACUGAUUUUUAGAUCUACUUUUUCAAUGAACAUUCCUUGAGGAAUCCUGUUCUAGUUCAACCCCUUCAUUUUAAAGGUGAGGAGACUGAAGCUCUGUGACCGUCACAAUGAGCAGGUGUUAGAGUUACAGCAAAAUCCUUUGCAUUAUAAUUCCAGUGUACUUUCUACCACUGAACAUUUCCGUAAGUGGAGGAUCCAUUUCUUCCCUGGCGAAAGUAUUCCUACAUGUGAUGUGUCCUGCCGUUAGUCAUGUGUGUUUCUAAGAAUACUGACCAUCUUGGGGCAGAUUUAUAGAUUGUUGUUAAAAUAUGUAUUGGAUUUUAGAGUGAGAGCAGUGAGA
RNAcentral lists this long non-coding RNA (1117 nucleotides) under Homo sapiens (human). RNAcentral's name for it is "HSALNT0114019". Lineage: Eukaryota; Metazoa; Chordata; Mammalia; Primates; Hominidae. The record is from RNAcentral.